AAGAGCAGCAGGGCCCAGCAUGCCUGUUUGCAGGCAGAGGAAGUGUGCGGGGAGGAGCAUGGCAUUCAGUCAGGGAACACCGCAUGGAAUGCUGGUUUUUUAGAGUCCUCGGAACAAAAUCUUGAAAUAAGUGAGACAAUCUGUAGUGCCUGAAACAAUAACAGCCCACCGCCCCUGAUAUUCAAGUGGGCAGAAAUUUUCAAGAAUAAAAGAUGUUGCUUAUCUUCUAUAGAGCUAACUGAUAGCUGCCUCAGCAAAAAGGUGCAACAGCAGCCGCUGGGGAUUAUUUUGGUCUGGAUAGCCAAAGAGGAAAAGGAAAAUGACUGAGAAGAAAACAACCACAAAUGAGCAAAUAACUGAUUCAUGCAAGAGAAAACACUGAUCCUGGCAACAUUACAAAGGUUACAGGCAGGAAUCUCUCCCAACCCUAUCUGGAGAUGCCAAGGAGGGAAUUUGGAACCUUCUGCAUGCAAGCAUGCAGGCGCUCUUCCCAGAGCAGCUCCAUCCCCUAAGGGGAAGAUCUUACUGUGCUCACGUGUAGUCUCUCUUUGGCACUUGGUGGUGGUGGAAACUGGCAUGGAUGAACAGAAGGGAGUCUCAAGCUAUUCAUGGAGAAGGUGUUGUGUGGGGAGUGGUCUGCCAUGCGACUCCUGAGAACUGGCUUAUAAUCUGGUACCUGAAGUGAGGAAAGGUAAUGUUGCAUGGUAGGUCUGAAGCAACCAAGUAAGGCCGGUUUGGAUGAUGCCUUACCAGUCCAUGUGAUUAGGCAAGGAAUGCGCCAAGAACAUGAUGUUUGUGGCAGACGUCCUGAUGGCCUCCCAGCAUGUCCCUUUAUCACAUGAAUGGCCUCUCUUCACAGGCUUCAAAUGCUUGAUAUGCUCUUGACUUCAAUGGAAAUAUAAAGGACCCUGCAACUACAUAAGGUUGAUGGAUUGUGAACGCUGAUUUAAGCAGUGGUAUGGCCUAUCCUGUAUUAUAGGCAUCCCUAUGACUG
This is a long non-coding RNA of Hemicordylus capensis (graceful crag lizard), 994 nucleotides long. RefSeq lists it as uncharacterized. The record is from RefSeq and is a predicted model, not a curated record. Lineage: Eukaryota; Metazoa; Chordata; Lepidosauria; Squamata; Cordylidae. The transcript is spliced from 6 exons.